CUUUUUUUUGAAAAAAAAAAAUUUAAUUGGCAGCUACAUUUUACUACUUUACCCAACAACAUAUCAUAUUAUAUUAUAAGAGACACCACCAAAUACAAUUGAAUAAAAUGACAUAGAACUUUUCAUUACCAUCUAUUCUACAAAGUAUACAACACUCCAUAAUACAUUCAAUUGUGCAUAAACAUGGAAAAUAAAAUCAACUGUCUAUGGAUUCCUAUUGUUUUUUUGAGCCGAGGGUCUCCUGGAAACAGCCUCUCUACCCUUCGGGGUAGGGGUAAGGUCUGCGUACAUAUUAUCCUCCCCAGACCCCACUUGUGGGAUUAUACUGGGUUGUUGUUGUUGUUGUCUAUGGAUUCCUCCUUGGCCAACAUCAUUUUCCUUUUCGACGAACGUUUGUCCCUGCAAUUUAAAGAACAAAAAUGCCAACGAUCAUUUUGAUAACCCUCAUAACAGAAAGCAACUUUUUCUUUAUAAUAUGUGAAGUACUUAUCAAAUCCAACUAAGGUUCAUAUCAGCUUGUACACAAGAUAGACUUAUGAAAUGAACUCAGUAACUACUACUGCCGACACCAAUAAACCUUCAUCUCUGCCUUAAGUAUUAUCCUUUUAUGGCAUCUUAAUUAAUCCAAAACUGAUUGAUAUUAAGGUCUUGGGUACUGCCCUAAGCAUUCUCAAAUUUGUGACUUCUAAUGAAAUUGGAAACAUCUCUCAGCAAACUAGCAGAACCUCCAAAUAAAUCACGGUAUUCCAUAUUGUUGAAAGUUCAGAGAAAAAUUCAAUGCGUUGAGCAUAAUGUAUUGUACAACUUAUAAAGCAAGGAAUAAUAUUAAAAUGGCAAAGGGAUAUAUACCUGGACAAGUAGUUUAGAUCACCUGGGACGAGCAGUGCUAGGCUGAAUUUAGGAGUGACUCCUUUUGGCCGUCCCUGAAAUUUCAAUCAGCAAGAUAAACUAAGAGUUGACAUAUCUUCAUUAAUUUAGCAAAAUGUGGAAGAAGAGAGUAAACAUCAAGAAAGUUACAAUGCCUUCUAAAAGGCUAUUACUAGAAUUUUACUAAAUUCUUGAUAAACUAACUAUCCAUAUACACAUGAUUUUCUAUGACAGUGGCAGGAGAUAAAUAGGUAGAAUUACAAUUCCAAGUUGAUGUUGCAAUUUUAUAUUUUUUUUUAAAGACACAAGUUUCUUAUGACCUUUUAAUGAAUCAUACGUUGCAAUCUUCUAAGAGUUUGAAAUAAAUAGAGAGAUUAUCAAAUUAACAUAUCAAUUAUCAAUCGUACGAUAAAUAUAAUGCACAACUCACAUUUGCAAAAUCUAUUAGCAACAUAUCAGAUGAGAUUUUUAAACUUGUAUUUGACCAUGAAGAGCAUUGCCAGAUAUUGCUGCUUCAUGCAGUACUAACGUGUGCCCAUCUACACUUGAAUCAAACCUUCUUUAGAUAUUAACUAGUACAUAAAUGUAGCUUGUAGUAAUUGAUUACCUUGCUAUAAAGGAGAAACUAGUUUAUGUAAUCUUGACAGAUAACUUCUGGAUUCUCCUCACAGACACCUACAACAUAAGUAAAAGUUCACCCUUUUUAGAGCUAGUAACUUUAUUUGGUAUUUACAGGAUGUGCGCAUACCAUGGCAUCAAUUAUUAUAGGAAAAAAGAGUUACCCUUUAUCUUUGAAUGUCAUGUUGGUAAGUAAAUGCUCUUGAAAGCCCCUCUAAGUUAGAAUUUGAUUGUAAUUUGAAGCUCUAUAUCACGUAAUACUAAGCAAAUUUUGAUUUUGAGUCCAAGAAGCAUGAUAUUAGAAGAGAAAUAAUCAUAAAUAGUUAAAGUAACCACACUUCAGCUCUCUUUUACUAUCGAGUUGCCUUGGUAGCAGUGACAUCUGAAUCUCCUCUAUCUGAUUCAUACAGAAUAGUAAGAAGGUAUUAAGAGCUCACACACCUUAUACUCAAUCACCAUUCUCAUGUUGACGGACUCCGAUUUAACCUUAAAUUACAUUUGCAGAGACUGAUUUAUUCAGUUCUCACUCAAUAGAAGCACAAAUUAGCGGUAGAGAAGAUACUUAAAUCUAUUGUACAGAGGAUGUUUCACGGAAUAUGGAUUUCCCUUUCAAAACUUAAGACUACAAGGAGAUUUAUUUACAAUCAUUUAUAAAGGGACAAUUACCAAACUGAAAGGCAUACAACUGAGUGGACAAUCAAUGUGAAUUGUAUGCAGGUCCGAGUCUAUAAUUAUUUAUCAGUAAAAUCCAGAUUAUUUUUAAUACUAAACAGAUAUGUGCAUCUGAUAAAGAGUGCUUUUAUCUUUUGAAAAGAUAAUAAAUAUAAAAGUGGUACCAAGAUCAGUUAACAAAGCAAGCUCUUGCAAAUUCUAAUUAGAGAACUUUGCUAUAUGCCCAAAAUUAAAACAUGAAAUGCCUUAAUUUACCAAAAAGCAAGUCAAAUUCAAAUAACCAACACACAUCGAAAAAGUACAAUCACAUCCACAAGAGAAAUAACACUUCUCCAAUUAAUUGCAAAAAUUUAAGCAAUCAAAUAAAAAAAAAAUACUUAAGACUGACUAUAUAGCAGUCGAGCCAACGAAUCUUAUCCACUAUCCGCCCCAUUUCUGGCCAAAUCCCAGCCUUGUCGUUGUAAGGGGAUAUGGUAGUAGCAUCGUGAAAGGGGUAGGGAAGACGGAAAGAUUAAAAGGAGUCGUUGGAUUUGGAUUAGUGAUUUAUAAGUCGAAAAGACGAAAUCGCCGGUCGAAGUCGCUAAACUGGAUGAAUUUGGGGAAGGGGAAGAUAGGGUUUACGGGGAGGUUUGGGGAAGAAUGUAAUAAUCCUAUAAUUCAUCUAUAAUUUAUUGUAUUUAUUUUUACAUUAUAUAAAUCAUAAUAAGUUUAUUUUUUUUAAUAACAAACAUUCAAGAGAGUAAUUGCUUAUUCAGACCACUUAAUAUUUAUAAUGUGAAUUCUAAUCAAUUAGUAGUACAUUUACCAUAAAAGCAUUACCUUUCGUGGCGAGUUAGUCGCCACAAAACCCUUGUGUUAUUGGAAACAAAAAUUUAGUUGCGACUCAUGUAAAAUCGCCACCAAUACAAUCCCUUUGGUAGCAACUAUUUUUUGUCGCCACAGAAACUUUCAUUUUUUUAGCGAUUUUACGGGUUGCCACUACAAA
This 3142-nucleotide long non-coding RNA is filed under the name Nicotiana tabacum (common tobacco). RNAcentral describes it as "long non-coding RNA (NTAB_LNC001515)". Lineage: Eukaryota; Viridiplantae; Streptophyta; Magnoliopsida; Solanales; Solanaceae. The record is from RNAcentral.